Molecule: long non-coding RNA, 342 nt
Organism: Rhineura floridana
Lineage: Eukaryota; Metazoa; Chordata; Lepidosauria; Squamata; Rhineuridae
Exons: 2
Source: RefSeq, a predicted model, not a curated record
CUAAAGUGUUCCUGGUUCCCUAAGAGUUGCCUAUGGAAGGCAACUACGCAGGGUUCCAUUCUUCUUGUUCUGAUGCCAACCUCUCUUAGGAGAGUAGUCAUUGCAACCAUCUACCUCAUGUAUAUUCUUAUCUGGAGAACCUGUGACCCUGUUGAACUCCAGCUCCCAGUUAGCCUCAACCAGGAUGGCCAAUGGUCAGGGAUGAUGGAGUCUAGCAACAUCCGGAAGGCCACCAGUUCUAUAACUUUGUGGUAGAGUGUUACCUAGUGAACCAAGGCCUACGAAUGACCUAUGAAUCUGACUGUCUGAUCUUAAAAAAAUUAAAAUGGGACAUCUGAAGAA